Thalassophryne amazonica is the source of this 403-nucleotide long non-coding RNA. RefSeq lists it as uncharacterized. The record is from RefSeq and is a predicted model, not a curated record. The transcript is spliced from 3 exons. NCBI's taxonomy places the organism in Eukaryota, Metazoa, Chordata, Actinopteri, Batrachoidiformes, Batrachoididae.
CCCCAGUUUGCUACUCCUUAGGCACUGUCCCAGACCUCAAUGCAAUUUUGAAGAGACGUCUCAUCCAAGACAGUCCCUCCACACCCAGAGCCAUCAGCAUUUCUGGACUGAUCUCAUCAAUCAACUGCAGAGUUAUCUGACUACCUCAGUGACUUCCACCAGGGAAACUGAUGAUGAUCCCCCAUCAGCUUCCAGCUCUGCCCCUACUAUAGAGGAUGCUCUAGUCUGAUGCAGGAGCUACUUAAAGUGUUCCUUCCAGCGUUGGAUUACAUCCUCAGUUGAGGUCAACAGAGUCGCAUUCUUACUGUGGACAGCUUGGCUGGUUCCCCAUUUUCCCCUCCUGAGGUGCCUCACGGUCCGCCAGAAACACCUUGGUGCCGACUGAAAGUGGCUGCUGCUCCUC